GAUGAACGCUGGCGGCGUGCCUAAUACAUGCAAGUCGAGCGAACGGACGAGAAGCUUGCUUCUCUGAUGUUAGCGGCGGACGGGUGAGUAACACGUGGAUAACCUACCUAUAAGACUGGGAUAACUUCGGGAAACCGGAGCUAAUACCGGAUAAUAUUUUGAACCGCAUGGUUCAAAAGUGAAAGACGGUCUUGCUGUCACUUAUAGAUGGAUCCGCGCUGCAUUAGCUAGUUGGUAAGGUAACGGCUUACCAAGGCAACGAUGCAUAGCCGACCUGAGAGGGUGAUCGGCCACACUGGAACUGAGACACGGUCCAGACUCCUACGGGAGGCAGCAGUAGGGAAUCUUCCGCAAUGGGCGAAAGCCUGACGGAGCAACGCCGCGUGAGUGAUGAAGGUCUUCGGAUCGUAAAACUCUGUUAUUAGGGAAGAACAUAUGUGUAGGUAACUGUGCACAUCUUGACGGUACCUAAUCAGAAAGCCACGGCUAACUACGUGCCAGCAGCCGCGGUAAUACGUAGGUGGCAAGCGUUAUCCGGAAUUAUUGGGCGUAAAGCGCGCGUAGGCGGUUUUUUAAGUCUGAUGUGAAAGCCCACGGCUCAACCGUGGAGGGUCAUUGGAAACUGGAAAACUUGAGUGCAGAAGAGGAAAGUGGAAUUCCAUGUGUAGCGGUGAAAUGCGCAGAGAUAUGGAGGAACACCAGUGGCGAAGGCGACUUUCUGGUCUGUAACUGACGCUGAUGUGCGAAAGCGUGGGGAUCGAACAGGAUUAGAUACCCUGGUAGUCCACGCCGUAAACGAUGAGUGCUAAGUGUUAGGGGGUUUCCGCCCCUUAGUGCUGCAGCUAACGCAUUAAGCACUCCGCCUGGGGAGUACGACUGCAAGGUUGAAACUCAAAGGAAUUGACGGGGACCCGCACAAGCGGUGGAGCAUGUGGUUUAAUUCGAAGCAACGCGAAGAACCUUACCAAAUCUUGACAUCCUUUGACAACUCUAGAGAUAGAGCCUUCCCCUUCGGGGGACAAAGUGACAGGUGGUGCAUGGUUGUCGUCAGCUCGUGUCGUGAGAUGUUGGGUUAAGUCCCGCAACGAGCGCAACCCUUAAGCUUAGUUGCCAUCAUUAAGUUGGGCACUCUAAGUUGACUGCCGGUGGCAAACCGGAGGAAGGUGGGGAUGACGUCAAAUCAUCAUGCCCCUUAUGAUUUGGGCUACACACGUGCUACAAUGGACAAUACAAAGGGCAGCGAAACCGCGAGGUCAAGCAAAUCCCAUAAAGUUGUUCUCAGUUCGGAUUGUAGUCUGCAACUCGACUACAUGAAGCUGGAAUCGCUAGUAGUCGUAGAUCAGCAUGCUACGGUGAAUACGUUCCCGGGUCU
RNAcentral lists this ribosomal RNA (1372 nucleotides) under uncultured bacterium. Its description in RNAcentral is "bacterial SSU rRNA". It matches the Rfam family "Bacterial small subunit ribosomal RNA", at positions 28 to 1381 of the family's 1533-position model. The record is from RNAcentral.